Molecule: ribosomal RNA, 494 nt
Filed under: uncultured bacterium
Lineage: Bacteria
Description: bacterial SSU rRNA
Rfam family: Bacterial small subunit ribosomal RNA
Source: RNAcentral
GACGAACGCUGGCGGCGUGCCUAACACAUGCAAGUCGAACGGACGAGGCCCCCUUCGGGGGCCGAGUUAGUGGCGAACGGGUGAGUAACGCGUGAGCAACCUGCCUUUCAGAGGGGGACAACAGUUGGAAACGACUGCUAAUACCGCAUAACACAUAUUUGCCGCAUGACAGAUAUGUCAAAGAUUUUAUCGCUCGGAGAUGGACUCGCGUCCGAUUAGUUAGUUGGUGAGGUAACGGCUCACCAAGACCGCGAUCGGUAGCCGGACUGAGAGGUUGAACGGCCACAUUGGAACUGAGACACGGUCCAAACUCCUACGGGAGGCAGCAGUGAGGAAUAUUGGUCAAUGGUCUGACGACUGAACCAGCCAUGCCGCGUGAAGGUCACGGCCCUAUGGGUCUUAAACUUCUUUUGUAAGGGAGCAAUAAGCUUUACGUGUAGAGUGAUGAGAGUACCUUACGAAUAAGCAUCGGCUAACUCCGUGCCAGCAGCCGC